Molecule: ribosomal RNA, 370 nt
Filed under: uncultured bacterium
Lineage: Bacteria
Description: bacterial SSU rRNA
Rfam family: Bacterial small subunit ribosomal RNA
Source: RNAcentral
GAUGAACGCUAGCUACAGGCUUAACACAUGCAAGUCGAGGGGCAGCGGGAUUGAAGCUUGCUUCAAUUGCCGGCGACCGGCGCACGGGUGAGUAACGCGUAUCCAACCUUCCGUACACUCAGGGAUAGCCUUUCGAAAGAAAGAUUAAUACCUGAUGGUAUGAUGAGAUUGCAUGAUAGCAUCAUUAAAGAUUUAUCGGUGUACGAUGGGGAUGCGUUCCAUUAGGUAGUAGGCGGGGUAACGGCCCACCUAGCCAACGAUGGAUAGGGGUUCUGAGAGGAAGGUCCCCCACAUUGGAACUGAGACACGGUCCAAACUCCUACGGGAGGCAGCAGUGAGGAAUAUUGGUCGAAUGGACGAAGAGUCUGAA